UCGUCGCAUCCGUCGUCGUUGUCGUUGUCGUUGUCGCUGUGGUUGUUGUUGUCGCCGCACUCCAUCUAGUUGUUGUUGGUGCAGCAGGCAACACCAACUAACCAACCAACAAACCAACCAACCAGCCAGCAACAUCGGGCUUUCAACCGCCAGCAAAACAACAAUUAAGCCAACCACUUAUAAUAUGCGUUCGCUGAACGGAAAAUUCAUUUGCGCAUAUGGAAUGCUGCACACAUAGAUAUAUAUAUAUAUAUCUACAUAUAUAUAGCCCUACAUAUACAUAUAUAUAGAUAUUUAGCUAUAUAAAAAUAUAUGUUAUACACACACAAAUCUACAUAAAAUCUAAGUGCAAACCAAUUGUGAUUUAAGCUAAUGACCACAACCACAAAACUAAAAGCGUAUAGAGCAGCAGAAGAAAAAGUGUAUAAAAAUUUUUCAAGUUUAUUAAAUAUAUGGAAAUCAACCAAAAGCCUUGUAAAUAGCUAAAUACAAAACCCAAAGAACAUAAACUCUUUUCUUUAUGAUAAAACAAAGGAAAUAAAAAUAAACCAAAGAAAACCAUGAAAAACAAACAACGAAUAAGCAGACAACGCCGUUUACAACUUCAUAGAGAAAUGCAUUGCUGAACAACUGGAGACUACAGACGACUCCCUAGAAAACCGAGGGGCCUGCGAAUUCGGAACGAUCUCAACGCAAAAAUGGCACCGAAACGCACUGGGCAACAACAGCAACAAGGGACGCCACCAACUGGGCAAAAGCCGCUGCAGCAACAACAGCAAUUAGAGACAACAACAAAGGCCCGGCAACGAUAUAGAGCGGUGGAAAAAUGAAACAAAAACCAGAAACGAAUUUUCCACUCAAAUUUGCAUUCAGCCAAAGAAGUACAGAGGUCUAAACAAAGAAGGAAGAGGAACAACACUCACAAAACAACAAAAAACGGGGCUCACUAAGAAAGUCGCCAGUGAAAAGGGGUCAGAGGGCACGCACACACAAACAGACCGCAACACAAAUACCAGCAUACAGAGCGCAUAAAACACAUAAAACAUUCAACACACGGACACAAAGGACGACGAGUGCAUUGUGAACAAUUUUCAACGAAUUUCCAAAAGUCUACAAAACAAAUUUAACAAAAGUUCAUUACAAAUAACAAAAGAAAAGCAUAAAAAAUAUUUGAAAUUUGCUCUGUGAUUUUCUAUCAGAAAUGGUUUAGUAAUCCAAAUAAUAAUAAUAAUAAUAUUUAAUAAAACAAAGUAUUUAUAAAUAUUGCUAAACUGCAUUCCAAGCAACCAAAACAAGAGAGAAGUUUAUCAAAUCCCCAAGGAAAAGCUUUAAAUUCAAUCGAAAACGUAAACGUAAACCAAACAAUUUCUAUAAAUAUUACCAACCAAAGUUUAUUACACUGCGCCUAAGUAGAGCAGCUAACGCUAGUCAAGUACCGAAACACGUCAACGAACUCCGAUCAGAACCACAAUUCCUCUGAAGGACAUCCACAGACCGGAGCCAUGGACGAAAUGCCCGACCUGUCGCACCUCACGCCCCACGAGCGGAUGCAGAUCGAGAAUGUCCUCAUGCGGCAGAAGCAGGAGGAGGAGAAGCAGAACGAGAUCAUGCGGCGGAAACAGGACGAGGUGGUCACGCUGGAGAUGCAAAUCAGACAGCGCUCCGAGCAGCAGAAGAAGGCUGGCGUCGAGCUGGAUGCCACCUGUCACAUAUGCCUUAAGACCAAAUUCGCCGACGGAGUGGGCCACAUUUGCCACUACUGCAACAUUCGCUGCUGCGCCCGGUGCGGCGGUAAGGUGACGCUCCGCAGCAACAAGGUUAUUUGGGUGUGCAUCCUGUGCCGCAAGAAGCAGGAGCUGCUGUCGAAGACUGGCCAGUGGAUCAACAAGACGGCGGCCCAGCAAGAUGGUUUCAUCCGACGCAUCGAGCCGGAUGGGAGCAGCGACAUAUCGCAGCAUCCCAUCGUGGAUCCGCACGACACCACGGACAAGCGGCCCAAGCUGGAGCGGACGCGCAGUGCCGCCGAGAAGGAGAACCUGCCGAUGCAGCGGGCGGGCAGCAUGCUGAGGCGCCAGUACUCGCAGCAGGAGCAGCCCACCAACCGCCGCCUCUCGGCCUCCGACAGCGGGAUGGACCCCAUGAUGAGUCCCGGCCAGCAGAUGCAGCACCACCACCAGCAGCAGCAACAGCAGCGCUCCAGGAUGCAGCCCAUGAAUCCGCAGCAGGCGCAGCAGGGAUACGGAGGGCAGCAGCAGCAGCAGAGGUCGGGUGGCGCCUAUCCCGACGACGACCCGCGAUACUAUCAGGGUGAACUGGACGGCCUAAUGAGGCAGCAUCCGCACCUGGCGCAUCCCAGCCAGGUGCAGCCGCAACAUCCGCCGCAGUCGCAGUCGCACACGCAGCACCAGCAGCAGCAACAACACCUAAUGCCGCAGCAGCAUCGCCAAUCACCGCAGCAACAUCCGCAGCAGCAGCAGCAAUUUGCAGCCAGGCAGCAGCAUCAGCAGCAGCAGCAAUCCUACCAGGCGCAGAUACACCAGCAGCCGCAGCAACAUCCGCAUCAGCAUCCCCAUCCACAGCAGCAGCAACACCAGCAGCAUCAGCAACAUCAGCAACACCAGCAACAUCAGCAACAUCAGACGAUGCAGCAGCAGCAUGGCCAGCAGGCGGCGCAGAUGGGUGGCUACCAGAAGCCGCCACCUUUGACCCGCAACCUGACCAUCAGCGGGGGUCAUGCGAUGGACUCCAGUGCCUACAGCCAGCAGCAACAGCAGCAGCAGCAGCGGCGCGCCCUGGCAGGAUCGCAGUACGCCUCGCAGCAGCAGAGGUCCUUCAGCAGCUCGGAGGAGGAGUUCCAGCAGCAGCUGCUGGCCGCGCAGGCGCAGGCGGCCGGUUCGGGGGGCGUGGCCACGGUGACCGCCGGCUCGGACUAUGACGGCGGGCGCCUUCAGGUGCGCACCUCUUUGGAUCCGUGGCGCCAGCAGCGCAGCCUCAACGAGCGGGAUCUGCUCAGCGCCGGCGGCGGUGGUGGUGCUGGUGCCCUCGGUGGUGCUGACUUCCGCCAGCGGCUGUACGCCUCCGCCGAUCAGCGGGAUCGCUACGAGCUGCAGCUGCAGCAUCGCGAGCGCUUGGAGCAGUAUCCGCUGACGCGUACCGCUCGAUUGGACGUCCAGCAGCGCAACUCGCUGAACCGCAGCAACCACGAGCGGCAUUUCUCUAGCGGAUCAGCAGGAGGAGCGGGUGGAGCGGGUGGUGGUGCUGCUGGCGCCUAUCGACGUGCCCCGCCCUUGGCAGCCGCCGGCGGCGGUGGCAGCAGCAGCAGCAGCACCACUAGCAGCAGCUACUAUCCCCAGUCGAAGCAGCCACAGAUUGUGAUUGGUCCGGGCACGGGCUACGAUCGGGGAUUGGGAACGGUAUCGGGAUCAGGAUCAGGAGUAUCCAUGGCAGCGGCGGAGGCCGGAGCAAGGGGUGGCCAGCGUAGUGGCCUGCUGGGCGCCACGAGGGGCGGCGGUGGCAGCAGCUCCGUCAGCUCCACAGAGGCAGCCUACUGGGAUGAGCCGGCCACCAGUUCCUCCUCAUCGGCGGCCCAGGAUUCGCGGCGCUUCACCGAGCGCAGAAUAAAGAAGACGGUGCGUUUCGAUGCCCAUGACGAGGAGGCCUCCAUAUUGGCCACCACUGCCUCACUGCCACCGGUCACGGGAAUCCUGCCCUCCACGGCCGUGGAUGUGGGUGCGGCCACCAUAUUGAGCAGUGGCAAGAGCCUGGAGGCCGGCGGAAUGGGAGUUCCGGUGGCAGGCGAUUGGUCGCGCUGGGAGGCCGAAAGGCAGGGCAGCCAGGACUCGGCCACCAAGGAUUCGGGCAUCGAUACCAGCAGCACCUUCACCAGCAGCGAGGACUCGAAUCGUGGAGAUGGGCCCAAGAACCCGGUGAAUUGGCAAACAUCCGCGGACAAUACUCGCCUGAUCGGGCACAUGAUAUUGCGUAAAUACUAUGAUGGGGAGGAUAUAUUAGGCUUAAAGGUCAACGGCGGUCAGCCCCUGUUAACGGGAACGGGAACGGGAGGAUCGGGAGUCGGAGGCCCAUGCGGGGCCAUUGUGGAGAAGGUGAAGCGCGGAUCGGUGGCCGAUCUCGAGGGAAGGAUUCGACCAGGCGACGAGAUCCUCGAGUGGAAUGGCCGCGGGCUGCACAACAAAAGUGCCGACGAGGUGUACGACAUCCUCGACGAGAGUCGCCUGGACGCCCAGGUGGAACUGAUUGUGAGCCGGGCGAUCGGCAGCGGCAGCGGCGGUGGCGGCGGCAGUGGCGGGAGCAGCAGCAACGUCAGUCCGAUCAGCGGAGCCUCCGGCGGAUCAGGCCACAGCAGUGUGCCCGCCCGGCGCUCCUCGGCCAACUUCCCGCACAGCGGGCUGGCCAGCAGCAUGGCCGGCAGUGCGGUGGUCAGCAGCGGCGGACGAUAUCUCCAGCGCAAAGCUCCCGCCGUCGAGGCCGUUGAAAUCCAUCGGGACAAGCCCAGUGUGCUGAUCACCUCGCCCGGUUCGCCGGACAUCCACACGAGUGUUUCCGGACCAGGUUCGGUAGCAGGAUCGGGUUCGGGCUCAGGAUCUGGAUCUGGACUCCGGCAACGUGGCGGCGUCGGGCAGACGCAGCGCCUGGGACCAAGCCACAGUACCCACAGCCACAGCAGCAGCGGGAGUGGCAGCGGCAGCGGCAGCAGCACCAGCAGCGUCCACGCCCCCGCCACCGCCCACGGCCCCACCCACGCGUCCGCUUCCGGUUCCGCCCCUGGCGGCCUGCACGGCACAACGACGGCGGGCCACCAUCACCACCCGCACCACUACCAUCCGCACCAGCAUCCGCAUCCGCAUCAGCAUACGCACCAGGGUCCGCCCACCGCCCACCUGCAAGGCCACGGGGUGGGCGGUGGCAUCGGCAUGGGCAGCGGCUCCGGCACCACCACACAGCACAUCCCCAUCGAGGGGCGGCUGCAGCUGAAGCUCGGCUACGACCAGAACACCCUGCAGCUGAUCGUGACCCUGGUCUGCGCCACCGGUCUCUCCCUGCGCCAGAGCGGAGCGGGCCGGAAUCCCUAUGCUAAAGUGUUCCUUCUGCCCGAUCGGAGCCACAAAUCCAAGCGGCGAACCAAGACGGUGGGCACCACCUGCGAACCCCGAUGGGGCCAGACCUUUGUCUACUCCGGUCUGAGACGCUGUGACCUCAAUGGCCGACUGCUCGAGGUGACGCUGUGGGACUAUGUGCGGUAUGGGGCCAACGACUUCAUCGGCGAGGUGGUCAUCGAUCUGGCGCACCACAUCCUGGACGACGAGGCCGAGUGGUAUCAGCUGCAGCCCCACCAGGACACCUCCUAUCUCUUACGUGACGAGGGCAGCGAUGUGGACGGCCUGAUACUGACACCGACAGAUCAUUUAUCACCGCCGAGCACCAUGUCGCGUCUGAGCGACUCGGACACCACGUCCGACUGCGACAUCGAUGGAAUGACUCCGGGGGCCAGCAUCUCGUCGAUGGGCAGCUCUGCGAGUCCGCCGCCCCUGCUUGAGCUCGAUCUAAACGAGCGUCGGUCCCGACGAGACAUGUCGCCCCAGGGCCGCAAACGGGUGGCCGGGAUGGUGGCCCGCGACUACCGCACUGUAUCUGGCAUUGGACAAAGUUACCACAAUCAGGCCUCUGCCACCGGCUACUUUCGUCGCGGAGGUGGUAAUGGUAUCGGCUCAUCCAUCGGUCCCGGUGGUAUGAGCCUCAGCCAGCGGAGCCACUCGGCGGCACCCAGCGACGGUUACCACAGCAGCGGAGUAGGAGGCGGUGUGGGCGGAGUGCCCUCCGGCGGUUCCGCCUACGGCUAUCGGAGCACCAGUCCCCGAAGGGGAUCCCUCUCGCCACCCGACGACCGCUACAUAGACUAUCCAGUGCUUCCAGUUCACGGCUCGCCCAACGCCCCAUCGGUCUACCAGGGACCGGGUGGUGCGUCCUCAGCGGCGGCGGCUGCCUCGCAGCAGCAGCGAUUCCAGUCGCGAUCGGCCACAGCCACGCCCACGGGAUCCCCCAAGAAGAGGCAACUGCCACAGGUGCCGCAGACCUCUCGCAGUGCCAUGCUGCGGGACCGACUCGGGCAGGACUUUGACGAGCGGUUGGCCUCCGGUGGUCGCUUUGGACGGCACCGCACACGGCAGCCGCACCACCAGGCCACGUACCGCAGCACCGGGAUGGGCGGCUGGGAGCGGCACUACACGGGACUGUCGGACAGCGACCUGCACUCGAUGGACGCCCGGAUGCGACCGCGUCACUCGCUGUCGCCGGACAAGGACUUCAUGGGCGAGUUCGGCGACUCGGACAUGGAGUCGGUGGUCAGCGUGACCUCCAGCGCCUUCUCCACGCAGUCGGAGCGACCGCGCACCUCGCGCGGACUCAGCUUCCCGCGCAACUGGCGCAACCUCUUUGGCGUCCGCCACAGUUUCCUCAGCGGAUCAGGAGGCGAACCCAUCACUGGACUCCGACUGCACCACUCGGAGCCUGGAAGGGCCAACACCAUCGAGGUGGAUGACUGUGACUAUCUGCCGGUGGGCGGUGCCCAGCAGUUGGUGUUGCUGGAGCAGCUGGAGCAACUGCAGCAGCUGGCUGCUCUUGCGGCAGCCGACUCACCGCCCAUUUCCGCCGGACUUGGAAUGCCACUAGCACCACCACCACCACUAGCACCACAUCAGGUACUAGUGACCGAUGCCAACAGUGGCCAGCUGGUGGAGCAAUUCUUCGUGGAGCCCGGCACCAUGGCCGAGGAGAUGAUGGAGCCACUCGAUCCACUCGAUCCCCAUGCGCAUAUGCAUCCACUCCAUUCCGCCUUCUACUCGCCAUCGCCCCAUUUGCCAUUCGACAUCGACAUCGACAUCUAUCCACCACGACGGUCCAACGGACAGAAAACGAACGUACAAGCCGCUACCGCCGCUGCCUAUCCGCUGCCGCUGCUGCCGAGCUUUGAGCAAUUCAAGCGCAUUACCACGCCCAUCACGAAUCUCUUCCGCAGCUCCUCGCCCUCGGGCCUCCAUGGCCACGCCCAUGCCCAUGCCCACGACCACGGCACCACGACGCCCAGUUCGCUGGUGGGCUAUGUGCGAGAUCACCAGGACAAGAGCUGCAGCCACUGCCAGAAUGGAAGUCAGCCGGUGGUGCUGUCAACGCACCACACUUUGCAUCUGACCACCGCCGGUUUGGCGAUUGGCGCUUGCCAGGAUCCCUGCUGUCUGGCGGAUGCCCAUCCGCAUCCGCAGCACCAGCCCAUGGGCUAUACCAUGGGAUCCGGCGAUCCCUCCGCGGAUCCGGCGAUGUGCGGCGAGUGUGUGGAUCAGCACUUUUUGGGCGGGAUGACGGGACCGCAGAUGAAUCUGGGCGUGGUGCCCACCUACCAUGUGCACACCCCGACCCCAAAUGCCCAUCGUCGGGCCAGGGGUCAAAUGGCCACGCCUGCACCACCGCCCACUCAAUCGGUGCUCCGCCUGUCGCGACAGCUGAGUGAAGACGCCUUGGUGGCCGCCGUACCCAUUUCAGAGGCCAAGGCGCAACCCACUUCAAUCCUAAAGAAACCGAAGCUCGAGCGAAGGCGACUCUUUCACGAGGGUCAGUCGAGGUCGCUGGACUACGAUGAUUUGCACACGAAGAGCUGGGGUCGCCGACGCAUUCGCUACGAGGACGAGGUGAUGCCCUCGUCAGCGGACUAUCCCUAUCCGCAUCCCAAUCCCUAUGCCAACCACUCACCAACCACGGCGGCCAUGUCGCGUCGCUAUGGAUCGGAGACCAAUAUCCGGCAGUCGUACAUGGGGGCCAAUGUGGAUGCCAACAAUCCGUUGAGUCACUCGCAUUUCCUGGUCACGGAUGACAAGAUAGUGACCAUAACCUAUGACUCGGAUGUGGGCUGGACGCGGCGGGGCGUGGCUCCAUCACUGUUUCGAGGGGCGCACCGCCAGCGGGGAUUGGCGGAUGCCAGGCAUCAUAUGUCGCUGGAUCUGCAGCGAACUAGCCAGCAGAAGUUGUACGGUCCGGCGGCACCUUACCUCAAGCGCCGAAGGAAUCUGCCGCAUCCACCAAGUGCGCAGAAUGCCCACAAUUUUUCACCAAUGGAGCCGGGUUCGGAAAUGGGAAUGGAACAGGGCAACGGAAUGGGCAGCGGUGGUGCACACAACACUACCGGUACCAGUACACACAAUAGCAACCACCACACCACCAACCACCACAAUAGCCAAGCGAGUAGUGUUAGUGUUAGCCAAAGUCACAAUCAACAAUCUCAACAACAACUUCAACAACAACAACAACAACAAUCAGUUAGGCAAAAAGGGAAAGAAGGCACCACCGCCAAUAGCGGAUCGAUGAUGGCAUCGGAGCAGCUGACGAAAUCUAGUAGUGGGAGCGGUGGUGCAACAUCUGCUGCCGCUGCUGGGCAUCUUGUCGUCGGUGGUACUAAUGCUAAUAAUGCUUCUUCUUCCUCUUUUGCAAAUCCCCAACCACCACCACCACAACAACAACAACUACUACAACAACAACAACAACUUCAUGGAUCACCCAACAAUAUCAACAACAAUAUUAAACGUGCCCCAUCAUCAACACCACAACAACAAAACACAUACACCAACAAUGACGCCAACAACCUGACGCUUGACCCCACACAACAACAACAACAACCACAAUUACCACCCUCACAACAACAACAACCACCAAAUACAUGCACAAAUCUUAUCACAAAUACAACAACAACAUUAACAACAACAACCACAACAUCGUCGAAUGCAACGAAUGCGGCGACAACGACAACCGCAACAACAACAACAACUGCGACAACAACAAAUGCUACAACAACUGCCACAAAUCCAACAACAACAACAACAACGAAUAACACGAACGAACCAAACGCAACAACAACAACAACAACGAACGCAAACGCCGAUGCGGAUGCGGACGCGGAUGCUCCGCUGGACGCCAUCGACUGGGAUGCAAUCGAUGCGAUGCUGGAUGAUGAUUUCAGCGAGUAUGACAAGGACAAGAACGGAGCCGACGAUCCUGGAGCCUCCAAGUCAGCGGAGGGCGGUGGUGCCGAAGAUAAAGUCGAUGGCAGCCUCUCGGACACCGGAAACGACCGGAAGAAGGGCGGCGGCGUCGACCAGGAGCGGUCCCCCAAGGGGGGCAGCGGCAUGGGCAAGAAGUCCAACUCCACCUCGCAGCUCUCGGCCACAGGUCGUAAAAGACGUAUGGGCUUUGGAAAGAAGGGUAAGAACUCGUUCACGGUGCACCGCAGCGAAGAAGUGCUGCCCGGCGAUAUAACGCGGGAACUGCGAAGCGGUGGCGGUGGCGGAUUGGGCGUUAGCCUCGGCGGUGCCGGUGGUGCCAGUGGCGCCGGUGGCUCAGGCGGCGCCGGCGGGGGCGGCCUGUCCCGCGGCUCGUCCUCGGAGGCGGACGCCAUCGAGCAGUUCUUCGGCGAUGGCGCCGGCGGGGAAAGAUUCUCCCCCUCGUUGCGCAAUGAUGGAGCCCUCAACGAGUUCGUGGAUGGUUUGGGACCAGGUCAACUGGUGGGUCGCCAAGUGCUGGGAGCUCCCUCGCUGGGCGACAUCCAGCUAUCGCUGUGCCAUCAAAAAGGCUGUCUGGAGGUGGAGGUCAUACGGGCCAGGGGCUUACAGCAAAAAGCCCAAUCAAAAAUGCUGCCUGCUCCAUAUGUUAAGGUUUACUUGGUAUCGGGAAAACGAUGUGUGGACAAGAUGAAGACCUCCUCGGCUCGACGAACUCUGGAUCCACUGUACCAGCAGCAGUUGGUAUUCAAACAGUCCUACACCGGUUGUAUACUACAGAUAACCGUUUGGGGCGAUUAUGGACGCAUCGAGAAGAAGGUGUUUAUGGGCGUGGCGCAGAUAAUGCUCGACGAUCUGAAUCUGUCGAAUAUCGUGAUCGGCUGGUACAAACUCUUUGGCACCACCUCCCUGGUCAGUUGUCCCACUAAUAUAGGCUUAGGCUCUAGGCGUUCAUCCAUAGCCUCACUCGACUCACUAAAACUCUAGCUCUUAAAGAAACUGAAACUCGGCUAAAACUAAAACCAGAAUCUUUCAAACUCAAGUCGUACAAGAAAAAAAAAAUACAAAGAACAAACUAAAAUAGAUUCGCAAAUCGCAAAUUUGAUAAAAACAAAAGAACACUUGCAUAUAUUUAUAUAAACCUACACACACAGAACAUAUAUUUAUAUAGUAUUUAGCUCAACGUUUUGUUCAUAGCAAGUUACAAAGAACAAAAGUUGUACAAUUUUGUAGAGUAAUCAGUCGCAAAAAUCCUGUAAAAAGAAAUCCCAAACUAAAAACGAUCAGUUUAAAGAUCCAGCAAAAUCAAUUUGAUAUUAAACCGAUAAUAUAGUAAACAUCAAAGCAUUUGUUUUUAGUUAGCAAUAUAUACAUACGCACUACUGUAAAUGAAACGCUUAUUAUAUAAUUCACGGAAAAACUCACACACUACACCCACACCUACACCCAUGAGGCAAAGUAGAAUGAAAAUUCGCAUUGUGUACUGAAACGUUGAAUGGAAAGUUGAAAGUUGAUCGAAAGCAAAAGCAAACCAAUCAAAAACCAAACUGCAAAACCAAAUUAAUACGAAAAUAACCUUUCGCAAGUCACCAUAAAUCACCGUUACCGUUAAAGUUACCGUUACUUCAACGUAGUUUUCACAUAGACUCGUAUAAUACUCAUAUAGUAACCAUUCGCCCGUGCUGUCAGCCCGGCAGCCAAAUAGCAAAGGACCAAAGGUUAGCCUGCAGCGGCGGAUCCCAAGAUAUAAAGCCGCCCGAUCCUCAUUCGGCAGGUUGCUGGCCUAAGCUAAGUCCACAUCUGAUCUGUUUUUUCUAUUCUACGACGACGGCAGACUUGGAAGAAGAACACAACAAACAAAUUAAGAAAAUGAUAUAGGAAAACAAAGAGAAAUAUCUAAUUUUUAUAAGUCAUGAAAACAAUUGCAUUUAAACGAACCGAGAACAGAGAACACAAGCAGAGCAGUAAAAUGAUUAAACGUAACUACGGAAUACAGAUAAAUGAUAAUUGUAAAGGCAGUCUAUAUAUACAUAUACACCUAUAUAACGGAUAACAUUUGACAAAGGAUACUUGUAAAUUAUGCAUAUUUAAAAUAAUUUUUAUUAUUACACACCUAAGAUCACUAUUAUUUUCGUAAUACGAUUACUGCGAUUAUUAUUACUUAAAACUAUUAUUGAUAAUGAAAAACGAAAACAAAAAAAUACAAAAAAAGAAGAAAACCAAGGGAGAAGGUGGAUAAAGUUCAAGUGCUAGUGUCAGUCAUGCCUAAGCCUUAGCCUGAGCAGAGACGCAGAUGGAUAUAAAUUGUUUAUUGAAUAAAUAGCUAAAUCUAAAUCAGUAAAGGGAGUUAUAGAUUUUCAGAGAGGGGAGUUAUUUAAGUAUAUAUACAUAUAUAAAUCGAUAUAUACAUAAAUAUAUUUUACCGUUUAAGCAAGCAAAGAACCACUAACACUUAAAUAAGCCUAACUUACGAUAAAACCGAUAAAGUUAAAGCUUAAGAUUAGGUAACUAAAAAGGGAGAUAUGAGAUAUGUAUUAAUCGAACAAGAAGAACAAAAAAUAUUUACCAAGCGAGAGAGAUGAGCAAGUUUAACUUAAUAAUGCAAAAUCUGAACUUAAGCUGUACAUAGGAACCACACACGUUACAUAACACACCACAUCCGGUUAACCGAUACCGAUUACCGAUUACCCACAACCGCUUCCCCGAGUUUAGGCUUUAUAGCUAUUGGUUAGCUCUGCGCCCCGUCAAAAACUCGGCAGCCACCCCAAAAUGUACGAGUUUUUGACGUCGGCGAUGAGGACAUACACACACACACACACACAGUAUCGUAUAAUUUAACUUAGAGCAAAUGGAAAACUAUCUCUCUAUAUGAAUAUACUAUACAGCGAUUCCUUGUUUUUUUCUGUAGAUCCCCUCGCUUCACUUUGUCGCGCUUUUAGAGUCGGUUUAGAAUCCUUUUUGUCGCCUUGGUUCCAAGCAACUUGCCUCGAAAAAACGCAUCAAGUACCUUCAAGUUAAUAGUGUGAGCUGUAAAAAUCGUUACCUGCUUGCCAAAGAUACACGUACAUUAGCAUAGAUGGAAAAUGGAAAAUGGACAAUGGAAAAGUGUAACGGAAAACCAAAAAUAGUUUGCAAUUUACUGCAUGUUAAUUUGAGAUAUUUUUGUCAUUCUUUUGGGCAACAUUUUGCAAUGCAUUCCUGGGAAGAGCAAACAUAUCACUGACCAGCGGACAGAGAUGAUGAUGGAUGGGAGCAGUUAACUUUUAUACAUACAUAGGUCAUAGGACAUAGGUCAGAGGGCGGCGGGAUAGCUACAUAUGAUUAUGAUACGACACCUAGCUAUUGUUCCUAUCCAGUUGUUUAGUGCUCGUUCUUUUUGCUUUCACUCGUGGCUACGGAUAUUGAGUUGAACCUUUCCGUCCAUUCAUUCAGAUACACACAGCUAGACAUAGACACAGUUGCAGUUACAGCUACAGAUACAGAUACAGAUUGAGGUAAAGUUAAAUAAUAUAUAUAUAUUGACAUGUGCAUAUCCAUCCAAGCAGCAGCUUCCUAUAUCAGAACUAAACAACUAAGAGAUACGUAAAGAAAUGCCGAAUCACAGGGAAAAUGCAUUCAAAAUGUUGCUGCAAAAUAAUCACAAGAAAAUCACGCAUCGAGCAUUCGAAUUUCGAAAUAUGAGGAGGAUAACGCGCUUCAGAUAUUUUGGAAAAGUAAAACUACCAGCGAGGUUUCCAGCAACUAAUUAUACGAUAUAUAAGUCAAAGGAACAUACAUUCAGAUACAUACAUUAUAGAUAAUCAGAUUUGUAAUCUCCGCUCUUCACGAACCUCAUACGAACUUUUCUAUGAUAAAACUCUCUCUAUCUCUACCUAUAUAUUGUUUCCACUGCUCUCCUUCGGCAAACAUUCAAAGAUGCUUUGAUUACUCAGCAAACCAGCAAAGAGGAAGAACAGAAUUACUAAAAACCUCGGCGAGUUCGACGUUAAAAUGCCCUUUCCUGAAAGAAUUGGCAUCAUACAAAAAAUUGAGAAUUGUGCUGAAAAAGUUCAAAGAUUUUUCAACUUUGGAAGGGGCAUUUCUACCGUGCAGUCAUAACAGAAAUUCU
Drosophila subpulchrella is the source of this 13167-nucleotide RNA transcript. RefSeq lists it as uncharacterized. Lineage: Eukaryota; Metazoa; Arthropoda; Insecta; Diptera; Drosophilidae. The record is from RefSeq and is a predicted model, not a curated record. The transcript is spliced from 24 exons.